GACGAACGCUGGCGGCGUGCCUAAUACAUGCAAGUUGAGCGCUGAAGGUUGGUACUUGUACCGACUGGAUGAGCAGCGAACGGGUGAGUAACGCGUGGGGAAUCUGCCUUUGAGCGGGGGUCAACAUUUGGAAACGAAUGCUAAUACCGCAUAAAAACUUUAAACACAAGUUUUAAGUUUGAAAGAUGCAAUUGCAUCACUCAAAGAUGAUCCCGCGUUGUAUUAGCUAGUUGGUGAGGUAAAGGCUCACCAAGGCGAUGAUACAUAGCCGACCUGAGAGGGUGGUCGGCCACAUUGGGACUGAGACACGGCCCAAACUCCUACGGGAGGCAGCAGUAGGGAAUCUUCGGCAAUGGACGAAAGUCUGACCGAGCAACGCCGCGUGAGUGAAGAAGGUUUUCGGAUCGUAAAACUCUGUUGGUAGAGAAGAACGUUGGUGAGAGUGGAAAGCUCAUCAAGUGACGGUAACUACCCAGAAAGGGACGGCUAACUACGUG
Molecule: ribosomal RNA, 497 nt
Filed under: uncultured bacterium
Lineage: Bacteria
Description: partial 16S ribosomal RNA
Rfam family: Bacterial small subunit ribosomal RNA
Source: RNAcentral